Molecule: ribosomal RNA, 492 nt
Filed under: uncultured bacterium
Lineage: Bacteria
Description: partial 16S ribosomal RNA
Rfam family: Bacterial small subunit ribosomal RNA
Source: RNAcentral
AGUGAACGCUGGCGGUAGGCCUAACACAUGCAAGUCGAACGGCAGCACAGUAAGAGCUUGCUCUUACGGGUGGCGAGUGGCGGACGGGUGAGGAAUACAUCGGAAUCUACUUUUUCGUGGGGGAUAACGUAGGGAAACUUACGCUAAUACCGCAUACGACCUACGGGUGAAAGCAGGGGAUCCUCGGACCUUGCGCGAUUGAAUGAGCCGAUGUCGGAUUAGCUAGUUGGCGGGGUAAAGGCCCACCAAGGCGACGAUCCGUAGCUGGUCUGGGAGGAUGAUCAGCCACACUGGAACUGAGACACGGUCCAGACUCCUACGGGAGGCAGCAGUGGGGAAUAUUGGACAAUGGGCGCAAGCCUGAUCCAGCCAUACCGCGUGGGUGAAGAAGGCCUUCGGGUUGUAAAGCCCUUUUGUUGGGAAAGAAAAGCAGCAGGUUAAUACCCCGCUGUUCUGACGGUACCCAAAGAAUAAGCACCGGCUAACUUCGUG